AACGAACGCUGGCGGCAUGCCUAACACAUGCAAGUCGAACGAGACCUUCGGGUCUAGUGGCGCACGGGUGCGUAACGCGUGGGAACCUGCCCUUAGGUUCGGAAUAACUCCCCGACAGGGGUGCUAAUACCGGAUAAUGUCUUCGGACCAAAGAUUUAUCGCCUUUGGAUGGGCCCGCGUUGGAUUAGCUAGUUGGUAGGUUAAAAGCCUACCAAGGCGACGAUCCAUAGCUGGUCUGAGAGGAUGAUCAGCCACACUGGGACUGAGACACGGCCCAGACUCCUACGGGAGGCAGCAGUGGGGAAUAUUGGACAAUGGGCGAAAGCCUGAUCCAGCAAUGCCGCGUGAGUGAUGAAGGCCUUAGGGUUGUAAAGCUCUUUUACCCGGGAUGAUAAUGACAGUACCGGGAGAAUAAGCUCCGGCUAACUCCGUG
This 433-nucleotide ribosomal RNA is filed under the name uncultured bacterium. Its description in RNAcentral is "partial 16S ribosomal RNA". It matches the Rfam family "Bacterial small subunit ribosomal RNA", at positions 29 to 507 of the family's 1533-position model. The record is from RNAcentral.